Molecule: ribosomal RNA, 452 nt
Filed under: uncultured soil bacterium
Lineage: Bacteria
Description: bacterial SSU rRNA
Rfam family: Bacterial small subunit ribosomal RNA
Source: RNAcentral
AGAACGAACGCUGGCGGCAUGCCUAACACAUGCAAGUCGAACGAGACCUUCGGGUCUAGUGGCGCACGGGUGCGUAACGCGUGGGAAUCUGCCCUUGGGUUCGGGAUAACAGUUGGAAACGACUGCUAAUACCGGAUGAUGACUUCGGUCCAAAGAUUUAUCGCCCAGGGAUGAGCCCGCGUAGGAUUAGCUAGUUGGUGAGGUAAAGGCUCACCAAGGCGACGAUCCUUAGCUGGUCUGGGAGGAUGAUCAGCCACACUGGGACUGAGACACGGCCCAGACUCCUACGGGAGCAGCAGUGGGGAAUAGUUGGACAAUGGGACGAAAGCCUGAUCCAGCAAUGCCGCGUGAGUGAUGAAGGCCGUUAGGUUAGUAAGCUCGUUUUACCCGGAUGAUAAUGACAGUACCGGAGAAGUAACGCCCCGACUAACCGUCCGCGCCAGCCAGCCGAC